This is a non-coding RNA of Paramuricea clavata, 524 nucleotides long. The record is from the annotation of a GenBank genome assembly. NCBI's taxonomy places the organism in Eukaryota, Metazoa, Cnidaria, Anthozoa, Malacalcyonacea, Plexauridae.
GCGAUUCCCUCAACCCUCGCCGUAUUUAUAUCGUCUUGAUUCAUUUUAAUAGGCAAACUGCCAAAAGAUAACAGUAUAAAAUCGCAGCUGGAUGAGAGAGCCCAAAGCCCCAAGGCUGUUGCUUUUCAGUGUUUCCACUUGUAGCGAAUUUUUCCAAAUAUGAACUUUAAUUUACAAACUUGAAUUUUGGCGGAGAUUUGACACCUUCAUCCGCCAAAAUUCAACUUGCGAAUACGAACUAUAAUGUUGGGAAUACGAACUAUAAUGUUGGAAAUACGAACUAUAAUGUUGGGAAUACGAACUAUAAUGUUGGGAAUAUGAACUAUAAUGUUGGGAAUACGAACUAUAAUGUCGCGAAUACGAACUAUAAUGUUGCGAAUACGAACUAUAAUGUUGCGAAUACGAACUAUAAUGUUGGGAAUACGAACUAUAAUGUUGCGAAUACGAACUAUAAUGUUGCGAAUACGAACUAUAAUGUUGCAAAUACGAUCUUUAAUUUUGGCGGAAAUAUGACGCCAUAGUUU